CAGGAGAUUUUGUCAUUUGGGUUUAACCAAAAGAUUCUAAUUUUAAUUGAAAGUCUUUCUCUCCAUGCUAAGCAGUCCCCUGCAGCGCUCCUGAGCUCUGGAUGGUCUCGUCUGGAUGGGAAGGAAGGUUUGCCCGUAACUCAAGCUAAAACCUCAUGGAGACAAGGGCUGCUGUCAGAGGGAGGCUCUAACCCACCAGGCUGCAGAAAGGACCCACAGGCCAGUGACCAGGUGCUCGGCUCAGCGCGAAGGCAGGACAAUGGCGAGGGACAAUAUCUAUGAGAACAUGCGAUGACGGAAGCUGCUCCCCGGCCCAAAUGAAACCCUCCCGAGACGUCGGUCCCU
This is a long non-coding RNA of Chelonoidis abingdonii (Abingdon island giant tortoise), 345 nucleotides long. RefSeq lists it as uncharacterized. The record is from RefSeq and is a predicted model, not a curated record. Lineage: Eukaryota; Metazoa; Chordata; Testudines; Testudinidae.